UACGUAGGUCCCGAGCGUUGUCCGGAUUUAUUGGGCGUAAAGCGAGCGCAGGUGGUUUAUUAAGUCUGGUGUAAAAGGCAGUGGCUCAACCAUUGUAUGCAUUGGAAACUGGUAGACUUGAGUGCAGGAGAGGAGAGUGGAAUUCCAUGUGUAGCGGUGAAAUGCGUAGAUAUAUGGAGGAACACCGGUGGCGAAAGCGGCUCUCUGGACUGUAACUGACACUGAGGCGCGAAAGCGUGGGGAGCAAACAGG
This 252-nucleotide ribosomal RNA is filed under the name uncultured microorganism. RNAcentral describes it as "partial 16S ribosomal RNA". It matches the Rfam family "Bacterial small subunit ribosomal RNA", at positions 524 to 776 of the family's 1533-position model. The record is from RNAcentral.